Mus musculus (house mouse) is the source of this 59-nucleotide non-coding RNA. NCBI's taxonomy places the organism in Eukaryota, Metazoa, Chordata, Mammalia, Rodentia, Muridae. The record is from Rfam.
UGGCUCAGUGGUUAAGAGCACUGAACUGCUCUUCCAGAGGUCCUGAGUUCAAUUCCCAG